UAUAGUUACCAUGAGAAAUCAUGUGAAAUAAUGUAUUCAUGUUGCUUAUUUCAUUCUUCUUAUAAAUUAAAUAGAGGAUUCCACAAUCCAGGGAAACACUGCCCGGAACAGCAUUGUCUGGUGUAGAUAUAGCUUGAACCAGCAAGUUGAAUUGUCUCACUGAAGCUGAUCCCAGCUGUCUUCUUUCAGCAAAAUAAAUACAUGAGGGAACCUAGGAUCAGUACAACAACCUAGUCUAAACUUCACUGGUUCUUCUCUGGAACAGAGACCCAAACCACAGCCAUGAAAAAUAAACAGUAUUGUGUUGUAAUGAAGACUAUGAAAAAAGCAUUUUGGAAAAUAGCCUCCGAUAUGAGGCGGCCAUCAAUAUGCAUGUUAUAUGUGAUCGAGUUCGAGAGAUGUG
This 403-nucleotide long non-coding RNA is filed under the name Mus spicilegus (steppe mouse). RNAcentral describes it as "lncRNA (ENSMSIG00000012298.1)". The record is from RNAcentral. Lineage: Eukaryota; Metazoa; Chordata; Mammalia; Rodentia; Muridae.